Gossypium raimondii (Peruvian cotton) is the source of this 1176-nucleotide long non-coding RNA. RefSeq lists it as uncharacterized. NCBI's taxonomy places the organism in Eukaryota, Viridiplantae, Streptophyta, Magnoliopsida, Malvales, Malvaceae. The transcript has 3 exons. The record is from RefSeq and is a predicted model, not a curated record.
AAGUUGGGGCUCUGUUGGUUUCUUAGUUCACUUUAUCUGAUUUCUCUCUAUAUGUCUCCAAUUUUCGAGAUCUGUGGAUUCUUUUUCUACAUGGUUUCACGGCAUUUUUCUGUUGUUGCUGGGUUUUUUUAUUCAACCAUUAAGAAAAACUUUGACAGAUUUUGGGUGAAUGUAAUCGUUGAGAAGAAGAAAAAAAUGAACCAGCGCUGUUUCUUUUAUUAUCAUAUAGGAAAAGCUUUGAUGAGGGAUUAGAGAUAAGAGGGGAUGAGAAAUCUUGGCCGGCCAACCAUUUACUAAAUGAAAAACUAUUUCUUUUUUGAUGCUAAAAUAAAGUAACAUAUUUAUUUUCAUUUGUAAAUUUCCGUUGCACUUCCUCUAUACGAACUUGGAGAAUUGUAAGUUCUAACUUUCUUUAGUUCUUUGUAGGGGCUGUACGUGAUUGUCUUUACAAGUCGCCUUUGAAAUUAUAACAACAAUUGGUUUAUGAAUUUGGCAGAUACAUUAACAGUUGUGCAUUAAGUGGUGAGAUCCCCUCAACAUUUGCUAAACUUAAAGAACUGCGAACUGUGUAAGAAAGACUCCCUAAUGUUUAUAUAGGAGAUUUCAAGGGAACUCUUUUGAAGGUCCAAUACCAUCCAGUUUAGGAAAUCUAACAGUACAUUAGAGUUCAGCUUGUAUAAUUUGUUUGGAUUCUUUCUGUCUUGAAGCAGAUAUUACUGAAUCUAAGCAGCUUUUGGAUAAGCUUGUUGUGGUGAAGUAUAAUGGAGCUUUGGGAAAGAAUAUGGGUUUCGAUGGUCCCGAAUGGGGGUUGGAGAAUACGAUCAAAGGGAAAACAUCAGAUAUAGUGAUUCCCAGCCAAGCAGUUGCUUCUUAGACACCCAACAUUUUGCAUAACCAAACAUGACCACAACUUUUAAACCUACAUGUUGAGGAUUCACACUCAAGGAGCAAGAAACAUCUCAGCAACUCAUUGGGAUUGAGCAGUCAAAAUUCAGAAUCAAGUGACACACAAGAGCUAGAUUUGGAGCUUGGACUGUCAUUGUAAUCAGUAACUUUUUUUUUUGCUACUUUAAAUGCAUGCUCAUGGAACUACAUUUUAUGCUUUCCUAGAAUUGUAAGUUCAAAUAAGGUGUUGAUCUGCAAUUUAUAGAUUCAACUUGAGCAAGUUGAUAUGAA